RNAcentral lists this ribosomal RNA (319 nucleotides) under uncultured eukaryote. Its description in RNAcentral is "partial 18S ribosomal RNA". It matches the Rfam family "Eukaryotic small subunit ribosomal RNA", at positions 1470 to 1796 of the family's 1831-position model. The record is from RNAcentral.
CCCUUAGAUAUUCUGGGCCGCACGCGCGCUACAAUGGUCUUCGCAAACGGAUGCAUUCUCGAAGGAGAAUGCCAAUCUUGGAAUCUAUGCCAUGGUCGGGACAGUUGCUUGCAAUUUUUCGACUCGAACCAGGAAUUCCUUGUAAUCGUGAUUCAUCACAUCACGAUGAAUACGUCCCUGCCCUUUGUACACACCGCCCGUCGCUCCUACCGAUCGAAGAGUUAGGUGAAUUGUUUUGAUCGAUAAGAUUUGACUAUGGUCAACUCUCGUUGUGAAAUUCUGUGAAUCUGACUGUUUAGAGGAAGGAAAAGUCGUAACA